GGUAUGUAAGGCUCUAUCAGCAGGGAAGAUAAUGACGGUACUUGACUAAGAAGCACCGGCUAAAUACGUGCCAGCAGCCGCGGUAAUACGUAUGGUGCAAGCGUUAUCCGGAUUUACUGGGUGUAAAGGGAGCGCAGGCGGUGCGGCAAGUCUGAUGUGAAAGCCCGGGGCUCAACCCCGGUACUGCAUUGGAAACUGUCGUACUAGAGUGUCGGAGGGGUAAGCGGAAUUCCUAGUGUAGCGGUGAAAUGCGUAGAUAUUAGGAGGAACACCAGUGGCGAAGGCGGCUUACUGGACGAUAACUGACGCUGAGGCUCGAAAGCGUGGGGAGCAAACAGGAUUAGAUACCCUGGUAGUCCACGCCGUAAA
RNAcentral lists this ribosomal RNA (369 nucleotides) under uncultured bacterium. RNAcentral describes it as "bacterial SSU rRNA". It matches the Rfam family "Bacterial small subunit ribosomal RNA", at positions 420 to 806 of the family's 1533-position model. The record is from RNAcentral.